Long non-coding RNA from Mauremys reevesii (Reeves's turtle), 716 nucleotides. RefSeq lists it as uncharacterized. The transcript is spliced from 2 exons. NCBI's taxonomy places the organism in Eukaryota, Metazoa, Chordata, Testudines, Geoemydidae. The record is from RefSeq and is a predicted model, not a curated record.
GAGCACCCGCAUCUCCACCGUCUUCUCCUCGGCUCCUCGCGCCCGCCCCCCGGCUCCCGCGCCCGCCACCUUGGAGCUCCAGCCAGCCGACAGCCCGGCCCGCACCCAGCCCGCCUGAGACUCAGCUCCGCGCCGCCAGCAUCUACUGAAGACAUGACUACUGAUAUUACUGCCACUUAGGGAAAAAACUGUUGUUGUGGCAUGUUGAAAAACUGGAAAGAAGAUUUCCCUCUUGAAGAGGAUUCUUUAUUUAUGGAAUAAUCUCUGCUACCUUACUGGAAUCUAUACCAAAUAGACUUACAGAGCCAUCUCUCUGCCAAAUGUACAUAUUUCAGGGUUGGAUUAGAGAAUUUUAAUUGUAUUUAUUGACAGCAUUUCAAGCCAUUUGAAAGAUUCCUCUGUUUUUUUUAAAUUGUUAUAUUAGAUUUCUCAUGUGAAAACUAAUUGGUUUACACUUUUAACAAAAUCUUAAACAGUGUUUCAUAAGUAAUUUCAGCAUCUCAUAUAUAAAUACUUGUUUAAAAGCCUGAAAAAGUAUGAUGAAAAGCUCUAAUUUUAACCAAGGUAUAGAAAUUAAAUUACUGUGAACUUGUUUUUACUGUGGCAGUGCAAUGCCUUAUUUGUAAGGGUGCUUUUGGUAUCCCUUUGUGAAGCAGUUUUGGAAACAGCUGAUGUAAGAUUAUAAACAUAAUGUUUUUUUUACUGUAAAUACACAA